UACGUAGGGGGCGAGCGUUGUCCGGAAUUAUUGGGCGUAAAGAGCGUGUAGGCGGUCCGGUAAGUCCGCUGUGAAAGUCCAGGGCUCAACCCUGGAAUGCCGGUGGAUACUGCCGGGCUAGAGUCCGGAAGAGGCGAGUGGAAUUCCUGGUGUAGCGGUGAAAUGCGCAGAUAUCAGGAGGAACACCAAUUGCGAAGGCAGCUCGCUGGGACGUUACUGACGCUGAGACGCGAAAGCGUGGGGAGCAAACAGG
Molecule: ribosomal RNA, 253 nt
Filed under: uncultured bacterium
Lineage: Bacteria
Description: partial 16S ribosomal RNA
Rfam family: Bacterial small subunit ribosomal RNA
Source: RNAcentral